UUUAGGAUUUAGGAAUAGGAUUUAGGAUUCAGAAUUUAAGAUUAGGGAGUAGCAUUUAGAAUUAAAGAAUAGGAUUUAGAAUUUAGGAUUUAGAAGUACAAUUUAGGAUUUAAGUUUUGAAGGAGGAUUUAGGGUUUUAGAAAGAUGUGACAAUCCUAUUGGAAGAAAAAUAUGAAAUAUGAAAAAAUCAAGGAGGUUUUGCUCUUUUGUAUUUUUGUUUUAUGAAUGUUUAUUGAAAGAGUAAUUGAUGUUAUGAAGGCUAGCAAUUUUACAAAGAGGAUUGUGUUUAUGAAAUAUUAUAUUGCUAAAAAAUAGUAGAGCAAUCAGUAGUAGUCAAAAGCUCGAUGUUUUCUUAAAAGUAAUCUUUUUCCACGACAAUAAAGAAGAUAGCACACAAUUAGUUAGUAAAUCUUACACAAUCCAAGUUGGUAAUAGAUUAUAUCUUUCAAUUCAAGUCCUUACAUAUCCAAAUUGACAAUAUUUCAAAGGAAAAGAUAAUGGAUCAAUUUCUACAAGGGUUGAAAUCUAGGAUCUAACAAGAAGAAGAACUAAAAGAUCUUCAAUUUGAAGAUACCAUUUGGAAGUAAACAAAGGUAUUUCACAUUAGUA
Molecule: long non-coding RNA, 609 nt
Filed under: Physcomitrium patens
Lineage: Eukaryota; Viridiplantae; Streptophyta; Bryopsida; Funariales; Funariaceae
Description: long non-coding RNA (PPAT_LNC011216)
Source: RNAcentral